This 353-nucleotide unclassified non-coding RNA is filed under the name soil metagenome. RNAcentral describes it as "partial contains 5.8S ribosomal RNA, internal transcribed spacer 2, and large subunit ribosomal RNA". The stretch from base 1 to 120 matches the Rfam family "5.8S ribosomal RNA", at positions 35 to 154 of the family's 154-position model. The record is from RNAcentral.
GAUGAAGAACGUAGCGAAAUGCGAUAAGUAAUGUGAAUUGCAGAAUUCAGUGAAUCAUCGAAUCUUUGAACGCACAUUGCGCCCGCCAGUAUUCUGGCGGGCAUGCCUGUUCGAGCGUCAUUACAACCCUCAGGCCCCCGGGCCUGGCGUUGGGGAUCGGCGGAAGCCCCCUGCGGGCACAACGCCGUCCCCCAAAUACAGUGGCGGUCCCGCCGCAGCUUCCAUUGCGUAGUAGCUAACACCUCGCAACUGGAGAGCGGCGCGGCCAUGCCGUAAAACACCCAACUUCUGAAUGUUGACCUCGAAUCAGGUAGGAAUACCCGCUGAACUUAAGCAUAUCAAUAAGCGGAGGA